AUAAGGAAGAGCUGCCCUCAGCGUGGCCGGGCAACAUCUAAUCGGCUGAAAGCUUGGAUCGAAUGAAAAGGCAGAGGAAAGGUUCUGAAGACCUCAAAUGGACUGAGCCACACUACCAGCAUCCAGCAUCCAUGGUUCUCCAGUCUGCAGAUGGCCUAUUAUGGGACUUUUCAGUCUUCAUAAUUAUAUGAGAGAAAGAAAAUGAAAAGGAUUUGUAAACUAUAAAUCUCUAAACAGAUGGGAGGAAAGGAAUUGAUGAAACAAUAAAUUUAUUGAUGAAACAAUAAAAAUAAACAUAAAGAACCAAAGGUUUUCAAAGGCCUGUGAAG
Molecule: long non-coding RNA, 329 nt
Filed under: Homo sapiens (human)
Lineage: Eukaryota; Metazoa; Chordata; Mammalia; Primates; Hominidae
Description: HSALNT0312138
Source: RNAcentral